Impatiens glandulifera is the source of this 1468-nucleotide long non-coding RNA. RefSeq lists it as uncharacterized. Lineage: Eukaryota; Viridiplantae; Streptophyta; Magnoliopsida; Ericales; Balsaminaceae. The transcript has 5 exons. The record is from RefSeq and is a predicted model, not a curated record.
CUUUCCACCUAAGUUCAUCAUCAAUCCUAAGUUGCAAUCACUUCGUAUCUCCUAAUCGGAUCUCUCAACUGCAAGACUACUCUUACUAAUCGAUGAUGAAGAACUAUCGGAUAUCUCCGAUGACACCAAAGAUGCUAAUGACUGAAUCUGAUUCUCCUCGUCUCUCAUUGGCAAAACAUCGAACAGUGGAGACGAUUAUGGAUAAACAGAACUUUACGCUGGAAGAUCAACUCGAUAAAGAUGAAAUAAUUCAAGAGUGCAAAUCUCAGAACAUCCGCUUAAUUAAUUUGAUCACCCAUAAAUUAUAAGGAAGCUGGUUGAUCUUAUUGGAAUUACAUCAAUCAUGGAGGUUCACAUAUAGUUUACAUGGUCACUUUUCUUGUAUCCAAACUCAUGUUUAUUUUCAGGUGCUAAUUUGUUUGAUUAGUGUUGAUGAACAUUUUUAUACUAACUUCACAAGCUCCAUGAAGUGGCUAGAAAAUAAAUAUGUGCUGGAGAUGAUUGUGGACAAGUUCAAUUCAUCGGUGUGUUGAGUUGACUGUGAUAAUAUCCCUUUCAACUACAUGGAAUACGAAUAUCAUUAAAUAAGUUCUCGGUCUUAGAAAUUGUUGUCUUGACUGGCUGAUUUAAAAUCUAUCAACAAGAGUGUAUAUAUGAUUUGCCACAGCAACAAAGUUUGAUAAUCCCCCGCCGCAUAAGAAGUAAUCUCUUUUAGCUUUAUCUAAUUGCCUCCAUAAUUGUUCAUAUAAGUUGUGUUAAGUGUGUAAGUAGCUGGAUUAAGAUAACUUGUUAAUUGCAAUCUUGCACUUAUCUCCUUUUUCUAUAGAUUAAGUUUCUUGUUUCAUCUUGGGAGUAAAACAAAUGGCUUGAUUGUACCUUAUUGUCGGUAUAGUUUGUACGUAUAAUUUAACUUCAUGCUCUAGAUAUUAUGGUAUUAGUGAUGAUGUACUUGUAUCAAUAUGAAAUAUAUCUACUUAUUGAUUUCACGAUAAAGAGACUUGAUGAGUUAUGUCUUGAAAAGUAUCAGCAGUACAACCGAAGCUUGAUACAAUCGGGGAUCCUAAAAGGUGAGUGUCCUUUUAGUUGCAUUUCUUUUGAUCAUCCUGGGUUUGAGAACAGUUCUAUAAAUUACUAUUGGGUUCUAUGACUAGAGAUGAACUUGAUCCUUCGACAAUGAUUUAUCAUGUGAAAUUUACUUGUCAUCUUUAGUUCUAGUUGAGAUUUGAGAGUGUGCUGGUUAUGAAUAUUUACUAAGAAUAAAUUAGGAAAUUAGGAAAUCAACAUAUGAAGUUGUACAAUCUUGAAGUUGUACAUCGAUUGUUAAAGGGCGUUCCAUAGCGACGAAUGGAAGGCCAGAAGUUCCUAAGCAGCAAUCUCCAACUCCUUGGCGAACAACACGCUCUUAAGUUCAGCCAAUCCGAGCUCUUGAUCUCAACGAGUCUCAGGGUCCGACCACCAUUGAUUACCG